This 774-nucleotide ribosomal RNA is filed under the name Salmonella enterica subsp. enterica serovar Saintpaul. RNAcentral's name for it is "partial 23S ribosomal RNA". It matches the Rfam family "Bacterial large subunit ribosomal RNA", at positions 2029 to 2802 of the family's 2925-position model. Lineage: Bacteria; Pseudomonadati; Pseudomonadota; Gammaproteobacteria; Enterobacterales; Enterobacteriaceae. The record is from RNAcentral.
AGACUCAGUGAAAUUGAACUCGCUGUGAAGAUGCAGUGUACCCGCGGCAAGACGGAAAGACCCCGUGAACCUUUACUAUAGCUUGACACUGAACAUUGAGCCUUGAUGUGUAGGAUAGGUGGGAGGCUUUGAAGCGUGGACGCCAGUCUGCGUGGAGCCGACCUUGAAAUACCACCCUUUAAUGUUUGAUGUUCUAACGUGGACCCGUUACCCGGGUUGCGGACAGUGUCUGGUGGGUAGUUUGACUGGGGCGGUCUCCUCCUAAAGAGUAACGGAGGAGCACGAAGGUUGGCUAAUCCUGGUCGGACAUCAGGAGGUUAGUGCAAUGGCAUAAGCCAGCUUGACUGCGAGCGUGACGGCGCGAGCAGGUGCGAAAGCAGGUCAUAGUGAUCCGGUGGUUCUGAAUGGAAGGGCCAUCGCUCAACGGAUAAAAGGUACUCCGGGGAUAACAGGCUGAUACCGCCCAAGAGUUCAUAUCGACGGCGGUGUUUGGCACCUCGAUGUCGGCUCAUCACAUCCUGGGGCUGAAGUAGGUCCCAAGGGUAUGGCUGUUCGCCAUUUAAAGUGGUACGCGAGCUGGGUUUAGAACGUCGUGAGACAGUUCGGUCCCUAUCUGCCGUGGGCGCUGGAGAACUGAGGGGGGCUGCUCCUAGUACGAGAGGACCGGAGUGGACGCAUCACUGGUGUUCGGGUUGUCAUGCCAAUGGCACUGCCCGGUAGCUAAAUGCGGAAGAGAUAAGUGCUGAAAGCAUCUAAGCACGAAACUUGCCCCGA